AUUGAACGCUGGCGGCAUGCUUUACACAUGCAAGUCGAACGGCAGCGCGGGCUUCGGCCUGGCGGCGAGUGGCGAACGGGUGAGUAAUACAUCGGAACGUGCCCAGUCGUGGGGGAUAGCUCGGCGAAAGCCGGAUUAAUACCGCAUACGACCUGUGGGUGAAAGCGGGGGAUCUUCGGACCUCGCGCUAUUUGAGCGGGCGAGGGCAGAUUAGCUAGUUGGUGGGGUAAAGGCCUACCAAGGCGACGAACCGUAGCUGGUCUGAGAGGACGACCAGCCACACUGGGACUGAGACACGGCCCACACUCCUGCGGGAGGCAGCAGUGGGGAAUUUUGGGCAAUGGGCGAAAGCCUGAUCCAGCAAUGCCGCGUGUGUGAUGAAGGCCUUCGGGUUGUAAAGCACUUUUGGCGGGAACGAAAAAGACUGUGCCAAUACCACGGUUCGAUGACGGUACCCGCAGAAUAAGCACCGGCUAACUACGUG
Molecule: ribosomal RNA, 484 nt
Filed under: uncultured bacterium
Lineage: Bacteria
Description: partial 16S ribosomal RNA
Rfam family: Bacterial small subunit ribosomal RNA
Source: RNAcentral